Molecule: long non-coding RNA, 406 nt
Filed under: Homo sapiens (human)
Lineage: Eukaryota; Metazoa; Chordata; Mammalia; Primates; Hominidae
Description: non-protein coding lnc-MAT2B-1:4
Source: RNAcentral
GGUAGGUGAUGACUUUGUCCUUAAAACUCAGGCUUUGCAUAAAAAGAAUGAAAUAAUGUCUUUUGCAGCAAUAUCAACGUAACUAUAGGCCAUUAUCUUAAGUGAAAUAACUCAGAAACAAAAAGUCAAAUACAGUAUGUUCUCACUUAUAAGUGGGAGCCAAGCUGUAGGUACACAUAGACAUACUGAGUGGAAUAAUAAACAUUGGAGACUCCAAAAGGUGGGAGGAUGGGAGAGGGUGAGGAGUGAAAAACUACCUACUGGGUACAAUGUUCACUAUUUGGGUGAUGGGUACACUAAAAGCCCAGACUUCACCACAAUGCAAUAUCCAUGUAACUAAACUGCCCGUGAUCCCCCUAUAUCUAUAACAAAAUUUAAAAAGGCAAAUAUAAGCAUUCUUUCUUUU